This 407-nucleotide ribosomal RNA is filed under the name uncultured bacterium. RNAcentral's name for it is "partial 16S ribosomal RNA". It matches the Rfam family "Bacterial small subunit ribosomal RNA", at positions 28 to 526 of the family's 1533-position model. The record is from RNAcentral.
GACGAACGCUGGCGGCGUGCCUAAUACAUGCAAGUAGAACGCAGUUGCGAACGGGUGAGUAACUCGUAGGUAACUGCCUCAUCUCUGGUGAUAACUAUUGUAUACGAUAGCUAAUACCUCAUACUGUGAUAUGGACCUGCGUUGUAUUAGCUAGUUGGUGAGGUAAAGGCUCCCCAAGUCGACGAUACAUAGCCGCCGUGAGAGGGGGAUAGGCGAAACUGGGACGGAGACACGGACAAGACUCAUACGGGAGGCAGCAGUAGGGAUGAUUCGGCAAUGGAAGGAAGUCUGAGCGAGAAACGCCGCGUGAGUGAGGAAGGUUGUCGGAUCAUAAAGCGCUGUGGUUAGAGAAGCGGUAACUAACCAGAAAGGGACGGCUAACUACGUGCCAGCAGCCGCGGUAAUAC